Molecule: ribosomal RNA, 506 nt
Filed under: uncultured bacterium
Lineage: Bacteria
Description: bacterial SSU rRNA
Rfam family: Bacterial small subunit ribosomal RNA
Source: RNAcentral
CUGGCUCAGGAUGAACGCUAGCGGCAGGCUUAACACAUGCAAGUCGAGGGGCAUCGGGAGUAGCAAUACUGCCGGCGACCGGCGCAAGGGUGCGUAACGCGUGAGCAACAUGCCCGUAUCAGGGGGAUAAUCCAUGGAAACGUGGUCUAAUACCCCAUAGUAAUUAUGUAAGGCAUCUUAUAUAAUUUAAAGCUUUGGUGGAUACGGAUUGGCUCGCGUGACAUUAGCUAGGAUGGUAAGGUAACGGCUUACCAUGGCUACGAUGUCUAGGGGUUCUGAGAGGAAGGUCCCCCCACACUGGAACUGAGACACGGUCCAGACUCCUACGGGAGGCAGCAGUGAGGAAUAUUGGACAAUGGAUGGAAAUCUGAUCCAGCCAUGCCGCGUGCAGGAAAGACGGCCCUAUGGGUUGUAAACUGCUUUUGUAUGGGAGCAAUAAGGGCUACGCGUAGUCCGAUGAGAGUACCAUACGAAUAAGCACCGGCUAACUCCGUGCCAGCCGCAGC